RNAcentral lists this ribosomal RNA (472 nucleotides) under uncultured bacterium. Its description in RNAcentral is "bacterial SSU rRNA". It matches the Rfam family "Bacterial small subunit ribosomal RNA", at positions 335 to 799 of the family's 1533-position model. The record is from RNAcentral.
ACUCCUACGGGAGGCAGCAGUGGGGAAUAUUGCACAAUGGGGGAAACCCUGAUGCAGCCAUGCCGCGUGUGUGAAGAAGGCCUUCGGUUGUAAAGCACUUUCAGUAGGGAGGAAGGUAGUGUAGUUAACACCUGCAUUAUUUGACGUUACCUACAGAAGAAGCACCGGCUAACUCCGUGCCAGCAGCCGCGGUAAUACGGAGGGGUGCGAGCGUUAAUCGGAAUUACUGGGCGUAAAGCGCAUGCAGGCGGCCUGUUAAGUCAGAUGUGAAAGCCCGGGGGCUUAACCUCGGAAUUGCAUUUGAAACUGGCAGGCUAGAGUCUGUAGAGGGGGUAGAAUUUCAGGUGUAGCGGUGAAAUGCGUAGAGAUCUGAAGGAAUACCGGUGGCGAAGGCGGCCCCCUGGACAGAUACUGACACUCAGAUGCGAAAGCGUGGGGAGCAAACAGGAUUAGAUACCCUGGUAGCACAGAG